AUGAGAUGAAGCUUGCCUCUCCUUGGAUUAGCAGCCCAAGUGAGUCACAAGCACAGCUGAGCUAGAUCAGGUGGGAGGCAUCACUGCAAACUGCAAAUGCUCUGAACCAGCCUGCUCAUGGGAUUGCAUGGGCUCCUGACUCAUAGCGUGUGCUGAAGCACUUGGAGCAGAAAGGCAGUACAGGUCCUGCAGCUGCUUGGAGGGGUUGCACAGGGCAUUGAUCACAUGCAACAUCCUUAACCAGAGUGUUGCAGUUGAGCACUUCAGCUCCAUGUGCUAUUGAUUCUUCAACAAACAGAAAUGGUUUUGAUAUCUGUACAAACACAGUUUCUCCCAUUUAUAUUAUCACCACUUUUUUUUGCCUGAUAACUUCCAAUGACAUAUAGUAAAAGCUGUAGGAAAAACAUACGUGAUAUAUUGUGAAUAAAAUACCUGAAAGUUUUCA
Molecule: long non-coding RNA, 445 nt
Filed under: Numida meleagris (helmeted guineafowl)
Lineage: Eukaryota; Metazoa; Chordata; Aves; Galliformes; Numididae
Description: lncRNA (ENSNMEG00000021336.1)
Source: RNAcentral